RNAcentral lists this ribosomal RNA (253 nucleotides) under uncultured bacterium. RNAcentral's name for it is "partial 16S ribosomal RNA". It matches the Rfam family "Bacterial small subunit ribosomal RNA", at positions 524 to 776 of the family's 1533-position model. The record is from RNAcentral.
GACGAACCGUGCGAACGUUGUUCGGAAUCACUGGGCUUAAAGGGCGCGUAGGCGGUUCAUCAAGUCAGGGGUGAAAUCUUUCGGCUCAACCGGAAAAGUGCCCCUGAUACUGAUGAUCUCGAGGGAGGUAGGGGUCCGCGGAACUUCUGGUGGAGCGGUGAAAUGCGUUGAUAUCAGAAGGAACGCCGGUGGCGAAAGCGGCGGACGGGAUCUCUUCUGACGCUGAGGCGUGAAAGCCAGGGGAGCAAACGGG